GAUAUUGCCUCAUGCGACCUUAGGACAUGAUGGUUCUCCCAAGGCUCUAGAUGUGACCAGAAGUUUUCUGUUUAACCAAACCUUGAAAAUGGUUCCCUUUCACAACAAUAUUUAAAGGGUCAUGUAAAAUUACAUGGCUUGCAAAAACUAUAAACAGGAUAUAAAUGUAUGGUCUUUAAGCCAGUACAAUCUAUUCUGUCUUGGACAGCUUGAAUUAAGGAACCCAUGGAAACAGAUGACAUGUGCUAAUAACAGCAUCUUUGGGAAGAUGAUUUUGCUUUUCAUGAAGAAAGAAUGUUUUGAACUGUUGUACUGGAAUUUCAGUGCCUGCAAUGUUGAAGGUAGUUACAGAAAACUUAUUAUCCUGAUGCUGAGAAGCAAACACUUUAAGAGGGACAUCAGCUACUUGUGUCGCAGAGCAGCCCUGUUCCAGAGCAUCACCAGAACUCAUGGCCACAACCAGUGUAACCUCUGCAGUGGGUGUUGUUGUGCUGCCCUCACUAUAUGUGUGAUUCAGUCCUAUCAGUUGUGUCCAACUCUGCACCCCCAUGGACUGUUGCCCUCUGCAAGCUCCUCUGUCCAUGGGAUUUUUCCAGGCAAGAAUACUGGAGUGGGGUGCCAUGCCCUCCUCCAGGGGAUUUUCCCCAACCAGGGAUUGAACCCGUAUCUCUGACAUCUUAUGCAGUGACAGGUAGGUUCUUUACCAUAGUGCCACAGGGGAAGCCCACCAGACAAUGAGCUAGUGUCUUAUUUCACUCUUGUAAUAAUCCAUCAAAGUCCUUAUUAAUACUCUCAUCUCAGUUUAAUAGGAAAAGAGAGAGAGAAAAAGGAGAGUUAGAGGGUGAAUUCAUUUCCUCAACUGAGUGAUGAAAAGAGCUUUGUACCCUCGUCUCCCUGACUUCAAGACCCAGUCUCUUUUCAACCAUUUCACCAUUAAAUCAUGGUGCUAUGUUGCCAAGUAUGGAAGGUUUAAAGUAAGUGAGUGACAAGAUCAAUGCAGAAUUUUGGGUGGAAAAAAAAAGUCUAAACGGGGUGUGCGAUUCUGGAGGGGAAGACACUCUAUUCAUGUCUACCGGAGUUCCUCUGAGUGGAAAAUGGAAACCACCUCCCACUUGAUUAAGUGCCUUCCCUGAUGCCUGUCCUCAGAGUCGUUCUCAUUCUCUUCCCUGCUGUGAAGCCAGGUUUAGGAGGAGAUGGAAGAGAUAAGCAGAUGAAUAAAAAUAAGCAGACCAGAUAAUGUUGGCUGAUU
RNAcentral lists this long non-coding RNA (1249 nucleotides) under Bos indicus x Bos taurus (hybrid cattle). RNAcentral describes it as "lncRNA (ENSBIXG00000011089.1)". Lineage: Eukaryota; Metazoa; Chordata; Mammalia; Artiodactyla; Bovidae. The record is from RNAcentral.